GUUUGAUCAUGGCUCAGAACGAACGUUGGCGGCGUGGAUUAGGCAUGCAAGUCGAACGAGAAAGGUUUCGCAAGAGACCGAGUAAAGUGGCGGAAGGGCGAGUAAUGCAUAGAUGACCUACCCUCGAGAUGGGGACAACCAUUCGAAAGGAUGGCUAAUACCCAAUAAGACCACGGGUCGCAUGGCCUGUGCUUAAAGAUGGGGACCCGCAAGGGCCUUUCGCUCGAUGAGGGGUUUAUGUCCUAUCAGCUUGUUGGUGGGGUAAUGGCCCACCAAGGCUUUGACGGGUAGCCGACCUGAGAGGGUGACCGGCCGCACUGGGACCGAGACACUGCCCAGACUCCUACGGGAGGCUGCAGUCGAGGAUCUUCCGCAAUGCGCGAAAGCGUGACGGAACGACGCCGCGUGGGUGAUGAAGGCCUUCGGGUUGUAAAGCCCUGUCGACUGGGAAGAAUGGCGGGAGGUUAAUAGCCAUCUCGUCUGACGCUACCAGUAAAGGAAGCACCGGCUAAAUACGUGCCAGCAGCCGCGGUAAUACGUAUGGUGCGAACGUUGUUCGGAAUCACUGGGCAUAAAGAGCACGUAGGCGGUCGGGCAAGUCCAUUGUGAAAUCCCCCGGCUUAACCGGGGAACUGCAAUGGAUACUACUCGGCUAGAGUGUAGGAGGGGAGAGUGGAAUUCCUGGUGGAGCGGUGAAAUGCGUAGAUAUCAGGAGGAACGCCGGCGGCGAAAGCGACUCUCUGGUCUACUACUGACGCUGAGGUGCGAAAGCUAGGGGAGCAAACGGGAUUAGAUACCCCGGUAGUCCUAGCCCUAAACGAUGGGCACUAAGUAGGGGAAAUCCUAUAUUUUCCCUGCCGGAGUUAAUGCAUUAAGUGCC
This 880-nucleotide ribosomal RNA is filed under the name uncultured bacterium. RNAcentral describes it as "bacterial SSU rRNA". It matches the Rfam family "Bacterial small subunit ribosomal RNA", at positions 11 to 868 of the family's 1533-position model. The record is from RNAcentral.